CGUGCGCACGAGCGCACAGCGUAUACGUCCCAUCUGCACGCAUGGCGCAGGGUCAACCCUACGCGCAUCCUGUCGCACGUAGGAGAGUCGUCUACGCAUCACCUCGCGCGCAAACUGGUGUCGCACACUAUGCGUGCCCUGUCCAUGCAACAAGCCUGUGCGGAUAAGUCCCUGUACGCCUGGGGCCUGCACGCAGUAGGCCUAUGCAUGCAGCAGGGUAGGUCAUAUGCUGCAGGCUAGCCUGUAACACGCCGAGCGGGCCACUGCUGCCUCAAAAUGUGCUACCACCCACCUUGGGUGGUACGUCGCCGCCACUAGUGGAGGAGACCUUCUUCCUCCGCUUUUCAUGCCAAACAUCUUUUUCUCUCUCUUCACCAGAUUUUGCCACUUU
RNAcentral lists this long non-coding RNA (391 nucleotides) under Carica papaya (papaya). RNAcentral describes it as "long non-coding RNA (CPAP_LNC003528)". The record is from RNAcentral. Lineage: Eukaryota; Viridiplantae; Streptophyta; Magnoliopsida; Brassicales; Caricaceae.